CAUGCCAACUGCCAGAACAAGGAGUUUGUUCC
Molecule: non-coding RNA, 32 nt
Filed under: Mus musculus (house mouse)
Lineage: Eukaryota; Metazoa; Chordata; Mammalia; Rodentia; Muridae
Source: RNAcentral